This 253-nucleotide ribosomal RNA is filed under the name uncultured bacterium. Its description in RNAcentral is "partial 16S ribosomal RNA". It matches the Rfam family "Bacterial small subunit ribosomal RNA", at positions 524 to 776 of the family's 1533-position model. The record is from RNAcentral.
UACAGAGGGUGCAAGCGUUGUUCGGAAUUAUUGGGCGUAAAGCGCGUGUAGGCGGCUUGGUAAGUCGGGUGUGAAAGCCCUCAGCUCAACUGAGGAAGUGCGCCCGAAACUACUUUGCUUGAGUGUCGGAGAGGAUGGCGGAAUUCCCCAAGUAGAGGUGAAAUUCGUAGAUAUGGGGAGGAACACCGGUGGCGAAGGCGGCCAUCUGGACGAUAACUGACGCUGAGACGCGAAAGCGUGGGUAGCAAACAGG